CCUACGGGCGGCAGCAGUGAGGAAUAUUGGUCAAUGGGCGGAAGCCUGAACCAGCCAAGUAGCGUGCAGGAUGACGGCCCUACGGGUUGUAAACUGCUUUUAUACGGGAAUAACGCGCCUUACGUGUAGGGCUUUGCAUGUACCGUAAGAAUAAGGACCGGCUAAUUCCGUGCCAGCAGCCGCGGUAAUACGGAGGGUCCGGGCGUUAUCCGGAUUUAUUGGGUUUAAAGGGAGCGUAGGCCGCAUGUCAAGCGUGCUGGUAAAUGUCCGGGCUCAACCCGGGCCCUGCAGUGCAAACUGGCUUGCUUGAGUGCGCGAGAAGCAUGCGGAAUGCGUGGUGUAGCGGUGAAAUGCUUAGAUAUGACGAAGAACCCCGAUUGCGAAGGCAGCUUGCUGCAGCGGAACUGACGCUGAUGCUCGAAAGCGCGGGUAUCGAACAGGAUUAGAUACCCCUGUAGUC
This 460-nucleotide ribosomal RNA is filed under the name uncultured bacterium. RNAcentral describes it as "partial 16S ribosomal RNA". It matches the Rfam family "Bacterial small subunit ribosomal RNA", at positions 338 to 795 of the family's 1533-position model. The record is from RNAcentral.